AAGUUUAUAUGUUGCGUAGGUAUUGUGCACAGGUAUUUUUUAACUCUGUGAAUUCUACCUAGGUAGCAUUUAGAUUU
Molecule: microRNA precursor, 77 nt
Filed under: Lottia gigantea (owl limpet)
Lineage: Eukaryota; Metazoa; Mollusca; Gastropoda; Lottiidae
Description: mir-242_2 microRNA precursor family
Rfam family: mir-242_2 microRNA precursor family
Source: Rfam by way of RNAcentral